RNAcentral lists this long non-coding RNA (1433 nucleotides) under Homo sapiens (human). Its description in RNAcentral is "non-protein coding lnc-UGT2B28-3:1". Lineage: Eukaryota; Metazoa; Chordata; Mammalia; Primates; Hominidae. The record is from RNAcentral.
CAUGAGGUCCCAGAAGUCAGCUUUGGUAUUUCUGCUCCUGCAACUCUUCUGUGCUGGCUGUGGAUUCUGAGAGAAGGUCCUGGUGUGGCCCUGUGACAUGAGCCAUUGGCUGAAUGUCAAGGUCAUUCUAGAGGAGAUCAUAGUGAGGGGCCAUGAGGUAACAGUAUUGACUCACUCAAAGCCUUUGUUAAUUGACUACAGGAAGCCCUCUGCACUGAAAUUUGAGGUGGUCCAUAUGCCACAGGAUAAAACAGAAGAAAAUGAAAUAUUUGUUGACCUAGCUCUCAGUGUCUUGCCAGGCUUACCAACGUGGCAAUCAGUCAUAAAAUUAAAUGUUUUUUUGUUGAAAUAAGAGGAACUUUAAAAAUGAUGUUUGAGAGCAUUAUCUACAAUCAGACACUUAUGAAGAAGCUACAGGAAACCAACUACGAUGUAACGCUUAUAGACCCUGUGAUUCCCCGUGGAGACCUGAUGGCUGAGUUGCUUCCAGUCCCUUUUGUGCUCACACUUAGAACUUCUCUAAGAGGCAAUAUGGAGUGAAGCUGUGGGAAACUUCCAGCUCCACUUUCCUAUGUACCUGUGCCUAUGACAGGAUUAACAGACAGAAUGACCUUUCAGGAAAGAUUAAAAAUCCAAUGCUUUCAGUUUUCUUCCACUUCUGGAUUCAGGAUUAUGACCAUCAUUUUUGGGAAGAGUUUUAGAGUAAGGCAUUGAAAUGGAAAAUGUUGUCCAGAGUUCAGGGGAAGAGGAUAUUGGGUUCUUUUCUCUGAGGUCACUGUUUCAAAACGUUACAGAAGAAAAGGCUAAUAUUGCUUCAGCCCUUGCCCAGAUCCCACAGAAGGGUGUUAUAGAGAUACAAUGGGAAAAAACUAUCCACAUUAGGAACCAAUACUCGACUGUCUGAUGGGAUACCCCAGAAUGAUCUUCUUGUACUAGGUCACCUCAAACCAAAGCUUUUAUCACUCAUGGAGGAAUGAAUGGGAUCUAUGAAGCUAUUUACCAUGAGGUCCCUAUGGUGGGAGUUCCCCUAUUUGGUGAUCACAAUGAUGCCAUAGCUCACAUGAAGGCCAAAGGAGCAGCUGUAGAAAUAAACUUCAAAACUAUGACAAGCAAAGAUGUACUCAGGGCUUUGAGAACAGUCAUUAACGAUUUCCAGUUAUAAAGAGUAUGCUAUGAGUUUAUCAGGGAUUCACCAUGAUCAACCUGUGAAGCCCCUGAUCGAGCAAACUUCUGGAUCGAGUUUGUCAUGUGCCACAAAGGAGCCAAGCACCUGUGAUCAGCUGCCCACAGCCUCACCUGGUUCCAGCACUACUCUAUAGAUGUGAUUGGGUUCCUGCUGGCCUGUGUGGCAACUGCUAUAUUCUUGGUCACAAGAUGUUGUUUAUUUUCCUGUCAAAAAUUUAAUAACACUAGAAAGAUAGAAAAGAGGGAAU